This is a long non-coding RNA of Humulus lupulus (European hop), 651 nucleotides long. RefSeq lists it as uncharacterized. Lineage: Eukaryota; Viridiplantae; Streptophyta; Magnoliopsida; Rosales; Cannabaceae. The record is from RefSeq and is a predicted model, not a curated record. The transcript is spliced from 3 exons.
UAUUCCUAGAACUCUAUAAAUAGGACCUAGCACCAAGCAUUUUUCAUUCAUCAAGCUAAGUUCAGAGGCUGCAAGUUGCUAGGUUAUUGUGAGAGUGUAAACACUUGGGUUGGGGAUUAUAAGCUUGAUCAUCAUAAGCUUAUCAAACACUUUGGGAAGUGAGGUUCGUUAGUAUCUCGGUUGUGGUUAGAUUGGUCUUUCAAGUCUUUGAGGAAAUCUAAGCUCUUGAGCACAUAAGUUUUGGGUAAGUGUACUUUCAAUGGUUUAGUCUUCCCAUUUUCCUUUUCAUCUCUUUUCUUCUUUAGACUCACUCUUUCUAAUGGUUAUUAGGAGUGUUCCAAAAAGUCCCAACUCAGUCCACAUAUCCCGGUAACUUUGGAAAAUAAGCUUUAGAGGCGGUAAGAUUCGUGACGCUUAGAGGAUGUGUAUCGAUGGUGGAUGGAGUCAAGGAGCCGAGCGUUAUUCGAUUCGAGGAUGUAGUCUUGUUUAUGUUUUUAUGGUUUUAAAUGUAUUUUCCACAUUUUCUAUGUAAUUCUUUUUACUUUAAGUUAUUUUUGUUUUAAAGACAAUGGGUACCCAUAUCCUAUUUAUUUUAUGAAAGUAACCUUUGUUUCUACAAGUUUCUAAUAAAGUAUGGUAUUUCCGCAAAAA